GUGCCAGCCGCCGCGGUAAUACAGGGGGUGCAAACGUUGCUCGGAAUUAUUGGGCGUAAAGCGCGCGUAGGCGGUUGCUUAAGUCGGAUGUGAAAGCCCUUGGCUCAACUGAGGAAGUGCAUCCGAAACUGAGCAGCUCGAGUUUGGAAGAGGGUCGCGGAAUUCCCGGUGUAGAGGUGAAAUUCGUAGAUAUCGGGAGGAACACCAGCGGCGAAGGCGGCGACCUGGUCCGAGACUGACGCUGAGGCGCGAAAGCGUGGGGAGCAAACAGGAUUAGAAACCCUCGUAGUCC
RNAcentral lists this ribosomal RNA (292 nucleotides) under uncultured bacterium. RNAcentral describes it as "partial 16S ribosomal RNA". It matches the Rfam family "Bacterial small subunit ribosomal RNA", at positions 505 to 796 of the family's 1533-position model. The record is from RNAcentral.